AGUGACUCAUUGGCCCAUGAACAGUGAGUUCUGAAAAAUUAGAUGCGUGGUGCACAGAUUUUUCGGGAUUGCACAGUGCUCUUUAUAGUGAAAAAUGAACCAUGCUCAAGGAAAGAGAGAUUAACCCAGAAAAAUAUUGCAGUUGUGUUACAUUUGGAUAUCUCCAAGAUGGACAAGAAAGGCACUGUUAUGGACUGAAUGUUCAUGUUCCUUCAAAAUUCCUCUGUUGAAAUUCUGACCUCCAAUAUGAUGGUAUUAGGACGUGGAGCCUCUGACAGGUAAAUGCUACAUCCAAGACAUCUUCAGGCACCGACACCUUCCUUCUUCAUGCUGAACUUGACUCCUCACUGGCCC
This 354-nucleotide long non-coding RNA is filed under the name Equus caballus (horse). RNAcentral's name for it is "lncRNA (ENSECAG00000048505.1)". Lineage: Eukaryota; Metazoa; Chordata; Mammalia; Perissodactyla; Equidae. The record is from RNAcentral.